CUUGCAAUUUCCAGUAUGAAUAUUUAUAAUAUGUUUGCUGUUUAUACAGUGAUGAUUCUGAAUUCGUUGCGGAAUAAUCGUUUUGGACUGGGGGGCGGUACCCCACAGCUCCACCAAUUUAUCUUAUGGGGCUGACAUAGUUUCGACAGGCGAAGUAAAGGCAAAUCGAUUGAAUCCGGGUUGUUCCGUUAAAAACAAACUAAAAACUGAAUGGCGAUACAAUCGCUGCGAACGACAAUGUUCGCGUUGCAAUGGCUGCUUAAUAUAGCAUUGAAAUAUAUUGGCAAUUGUUGGUAUAUUUCGUUUUAGCUUUUGCGGGGUUUGUCGGGUACCUGGCACCAGAAACCC
RNAcentral lists this transfer-messenger RNA (348 nucleotides) under pig gut metagenome. RNAcentral describes it as "Alphaproteobacteria transfer-messenger RNA". It matches the Rfam family "Alphaproteobacteria transfer-messenger RNA". From Rfam's summary of the family: Bacterial tmRNA, also known as 10Sa RNA or SsrA, is named for its dual tRNA and mRNA-like properties. Its role is to liberate the mRNA from a stalled ribosome. The record is from RNAcentral.